ACCCAGUUGUUACUACCGACCUUUAUAACGCCACCAACUAAGCGUUAGAUCUACCCGCAAUAUUUAUGGCUUUGACGUAGCAUAAACAAAUAUCAAGUUUAAUUGUAGUACUUACAAAGGGUACUUCAACAAAUCGCAUUGUUAUUUGACACAGUGUUGAUUGUGGUUUUAAGUCCAGACGUGUUUUAAAAUAACCUAAGUGAUUUCUUUGAAACAUGCCCUCGAAAAGGCCACUGAAGAAAAAGGCUUUAAGCCUUAACGAAAUAAUUGACAACCUACACCAUUUAGAUUCUGAUGAUGAUUUGCCAAAUAAAAAUCACUAUUUUUCCACCGGAAAAUUCGAAUACUGAAGUAACUGAUGAAGAUUCGGGUGAUGAAGAAUUUCUGUCAUUACAUAAUCUUCCAGGUUUGUUUUUAAUUCAACUUUGUACGUUAUUUUUCACUAUGGAAAAUAUAUAUUUGACAUCAUUUUAAUCGUUUUAGGAUCUCAGCUAAGGGCUCCCGCGGAGGCUAUAUAUAGCUCAUAUUCGGAAAAUGAGGAUUCGGAAGACGAUUUAUCUUUGUCGACUUUAGCCAAAAAAAUGCGUACUACUACCGAGAAUUCACAUGAAAAUGAGAACGAGCCUUCAGUUUCCAAUCCUAGAAUUAGUUCUACGCGUUUACCUAGUGUACUAAAAUCUCAACAGUACAAGUGGGUCAACCAGGAUAACCCGAGGGAACGUAGACAGUGGCAAGACCGGGAAGAGCCGAAAAAUCGUCAAUCUCCUAUGUAUUACUAUGAGUGUAUGAUGAAUGAUGAGAUAAUUGAGCUGUUGGUAUAUUAUACAAAUUUGUACGCGAGCCAGAAAAAUGCUGUCGGUAAUGUAACUAUUUCAGAAAUGAAGUGUUUUUUGGGAAUACUUUUAUACAGUGGUUACGUUUCGGUACCACGUCGAUAUAUGUUUUGGGAGAAAUCUUCUGAUACUCACUUUGACAUUGUGUAUAAUGACCCGAAGACGUGUUUUGUGGCCUAUCAUACUAGUGUUUAAUUUAUAGGCAAUUAUACAAAUGUUUAACAAUG
Long non-coding RNA from Cydia pomonella (codling moth), 1060 nucleotides. RefSeq lists it as uncharacterized. NCBI's taxonomy places the organism in Eukaryota, Metazoa, Arthropoda, Insecta, Lepidoptera, Tortricidae. The transcript is spliced from 2 exons. The record is from RefSeq and is a predicted model, not a curated record.